Molecule: long non-coding RNA, 2218 nt
Filed under: Ananas comosus (pineapple)
Lineage: Eukaryota; Viridiplantae; Streptophyta; Magnoliopsida; Poales; Bromeliaceae
Description: long non-coding RNA (ACOM_LNC027874)
Source: RNAcentral
GCGAUUGUGGGCUUUUUAUAACAGCACCCACGCCCCUUAGGGCUUUUUUUGUGCUGGAACCAGAGGAGAGGAAGGUGAGUGAGGCUCCACCUUGUCCCAUUUGAUUUUGAUCUCCAUUUUGCUUGGUUUUUGAUGGAUUUCCUUCUCUUUUGCCCUUUGGUGCCAUUUCCACCAUGGAUGAAGCCUCAAGCUUGGAUUUGGAGCUAAGUGGAGGAUAGAUCUUGGGAUUUAAAGGAUUUAGAGCUUGAUUUGAAGCUUCUAAGAGGUAAGCAUUACACUAUCUUCCUCUAGAUUUGAGUUUUAUUGGAUUUCAUGAGAUGAAACCCUAGAUUGUGAUAUUAGGGUUUAUUUUGGGCAUUUUAAAUUUAGGGCUUUUGAAGCUAGAUUGAUUGGAUUAGAGGCUUCCAUUAGGUUGGAUUGGAUGAGCCCUAGCUUCAUUUUGGAGCUUUAGAGGAGAUUUUGCUCUAGAGGUGAGUUCUUCUCACCUAUACUUGAUUAGCUUAAUGAUUGAGCUAUUGAUGGUUCGUUUCGUUCAUGUGACGCAUGUUCUUGUACCUCUAGAAUACUAGGAGACUAGAGGACACCCUCGUUGGAGCGCACGAGGAGUUUCGUUGUCAUCGGUGGGUUUGGCUUCGGGGAAAUGGGGUGAAAUGACCCCUAUGCUCUUUCUACUUGUUGUAAAAUAUUUUUAAGUUCAUUUCUAUGCUAAAUGGGAUUUAUAUGAAUUUUAGAGCACUUAAAAUGCAUGCCUUGUGUAAUAUGAAAAAUUUCACUAUAUAGUAGAGCUAUAUGAGUAGAAUGCAUGCAUAUGGAAAAAGUGUUUAUUUUGCAAGUGGAAAAUACAUCUCUUAUGAGGAUUAUGACUUGGAAUAUGUGCCUUGGAACAUAGUUGCCAUGUUUUGACAUAGAGAACACGAGUGUCAUAAAGGGGCACACGAAACUAGUAAACUAUGAAACUGCAACAUAGAGAUAUAUUGAUAGGCCUUGUACAUCUGCUAUAUGUAUUCCAUGUUAGAGACAUGAUGACAUAGAGAUAGGCCUUUGAGACAUUCGAUAUAUUCCAUGUUAUUAGACAUGAGGACUUGGUACUUGCGACAGAUCGUUUGACUACUUGCCAUUGUGCUCAUUCGCACAUGCUUGUGAGGGUCGCUCCCUACAAGCUGGCACUCCGGAGAUGGCCAUCGCGAUACAUAUUCGCCGUGCGGGAUUGGGCGCCGAAGUGGAUUGCCGUGGGACAGGCUCAUUCCUAGGGUGGGGAUGAUGACUACUACGGGGCCAUUAGGCUCGGCACCGGCCAGACAGCCUACGGGUGGGUCUCAGGGCCAUAGACAGCCUUCGGGUGGGUCUCUUCAGAUUUGACUUGAGUAUUCAUUAUGACAUGUGGACAGAUGAUGACUUAGAGUAUUACUUGGACAUUGACUAGAAUAGUAAACAACGGAACUUUACUAUUUCGCAUUGUGAACAUUAUGAUAGUUGGAGACUUUUACUUCAUGUAUGGUUGUUUCAUACUUAUGCUAUUUAGGCUAAGUAGAGAUAUCAUGUUGUAGUAAGUUACAUUCUACUUAUCUUUCGCUUUUCUACAUUUAUAGUCACUAACCUCUUUUGUAGCUUUGGGCCUUGUGGUGCAUUCACUGAAGUCAGUAAUUGCCCACUGGGAACUAUUCUUAAUAGUUCUCACGCCCCUGUUUCUAUGUUUCCUUUUCAGAGCCUUCGGCACCGGCGGAGGCACGGGAUCGCGGCAAGGGGAUCGCGUAGCUAGCUAGCGAGGAGCUUGCUUGCCUAGGUGGUUUACUCUUUCUUUUGUAGUUGAGAGAGUGAGAGUUUUUGUACCCUGUAUAGAGACCACCUAUGUAUCUACUCGUAGCACCUGUAUUUGGGAAUUCCUAUUGUAUUUACUUUAUGUUCUACCUAGUGGAUUUACAGUUUUAUCUUUAUUCCUUGUUGUAGCAAUUAGACUUUUACUAUGCUCUGAUACUCCUAGAUGUCUUUUAUUAUUGCUUUUAUUAUUGUUGUUGUUAGACGCCUUAUAUGUUGUAGACAUAUGGCGGGUCUGGGCACGCGCCGGGCGGGCUUCCGCUGGGUCCCGGGGCGUGACAAUGAGCUUCUCCGGCCAUGGCGAGGAUCGGGGUGGCCGGAGGAGUGGUGCGGGGUCCCUCUGGGAUCGAAUGGAGGGGUAGACAACGGCGGCUAGCGGCAAGGGACGUGGCACGGAAGCUCU